This 497-nucleotide ribosomal RNA is filed under the name uncultured bacterium. RNAcentral describes it as "partial 16S ribosomal RNA". It matches the Rfam family "Bacterial small subunit ribosomal RNA", at positions 28 to 507 of the family's 1533-position model. The record is from RNAcentral.
GAUGAACGCUGGCGGCGUGCCUAAUACAUGCAAGUCGAGCGAACAGACGAGGAGCUUGCUCCUCUGACGUUAGCGGCGGACGGGUGAGUAACACGUGGAUAACCUACCUAUAAGACUGGGAUAACUUCGGGAAACCGGAGCUAAUACCGGAUAAUAUAUUGAACCGCAUGGUUCAAUAGUGAAAGACGGUUUUGCUGUCACUUAUAGAUGGAUCCGCGCCGCAUUAGCUAGUUGGUAAGGUAACGGCUUACCAAGGCAACGAUGCGUAGCCGACCUGCGAGGGUGAUCGGCCACACUGGAACUGAGACACGGUCCAGACUCCUACGGGAGGCAGCAGUAGGGAAUCUGCCGCAAUGGGCGAAAGCCUGACGGAGCAGCGCCGCGUGAGUGAUGAAGGUCUUCGGAUCGUAAAACUCUGUUAUUAGGGAAGAACAAAUGUGUAAGUAACUAUGCACGUCUUGACGGUACCUAAUCAGAAAGCCACGGCUAACUACGUG